RNAcentral lists this ribosomal RNA (468 nucleotides) under uncultured bacterium. RNAcentral's name for it is "partial 16S ribosomal RNA". It matches the Rfam family "Bacterial small subunit ribosomal RNA", at positions 28 to 507 of the family's 1533-position model. The record is from RNAcentral.
GACGAACGCUGGCGGCGUGCUUAACACAUGCAAGUCGAACGGAAAGGCCCUGCGUUUGUUGGUUGCUCGAUUGGCGAACGGGGGAGUGACACGUGAGUAACCUGCCCUUAACUUUGUGGGAACUUCAGGAAACAGGGGCGAAUACCGGAGAGGAUCUCCUGCUGCAUGUUGGGGAUUGGAAAAUUUCGGCUGUUGGGGCUGGACUCGCGGCUUAUCAGCUGGUUGGUGGGGUAGUGGCGUACCAAGGCUUUGACGGGUAGCCGGCCUGAGAGGGUGACCGGCCACCUUGGGCCUGAGAUACGGCCCAGACUGCUACGGGAGGCAGCAGUGGGGAAUAUUGCACAAUGGGCGGAAGCCUGAUGCAGCAAUGCCGCGUGCGGGAUGCCGGCCUUCGGGUUGUAAACAGCUUUCGAAUGUGCCGAAGAGUGAGUGACGGUAAUGGGUCAAGAAGCAACGGCUAACUACGUG